CUUCCUCGUCGGAGAAAUCCGCGGAGGACGACAUGGAGCAUCGAAGUUUCCUGCUCACUUAGGUGGUGAGCUUCCACUAUAGGUUGUGUUUCCUCAAGGCGAGGUGCUACACGUCUUCUAGCAUGACGAGGACUUGAUCUAAAGCCCUAUAACAGAAAAAGUGAUCAUUGUGUUUGACAUCUCCCAGAAUGGAGCCAUGUAACAACAGAAAAAUCAUACAGGAACUUAACAACGACUUCAGCAAAAUAUCCCUGCUGAAGUCCUUCUGUGACAAACUCAACACUCAGAUAUAGCUGGUCCCUAUAAAGAAUCAAACUUCUGCAAGAAACACUGUGGGAUUCCUCUGACCAAAGCUCAGCAGAACUCCCUUCCCUUUCGAGCCACUGAAGUCAGCAGGUCAGAGGAAAAGUCCUUUAACAGCUCCUAUUUCUCUCCAUUGGCCACAAAGGGAGCCCAAACUGACUACUUCAGUCAUAGACAUCUAUAUGCUGAAGUUUACUCCUAUGAAGAUCUGAAUCAAGAUUUAAAACAUCAAAUGUAAGAUUUUACAUUCAAUUUCUCAUUCCACUCCCUCAUUAACAAGCUUUCACUGACACUUCUUUGCAUGCCUUAUGUUUAUUUUAGGAGAUAUUAUUCUUAUCUUCAAAAACCUAAACUCUAAGCAGUGCUGGAACCAUUUCUCAGAUAUUGAAGACUGUGAUUUGGCAUGUGUCAUAUUCCAAGAUAAAUCCACGCAUUCAAAGGGAUUAAAAGCAAUUGUCUUUUACAUCAUCCGAACAAGAUUACUUUUCCAUCUGAGUUCAUGAAAUACAUCAAUAACCUGCUUUCCCAUUCUUAAGCAGGCCCCCAAGUGUAUACAUAUGAGCCCUUGUGUGAACCUAGGGUUUAGAUGUGAAUUUAGAAUACAGUUUUUAAUAACCCAUGUUGCAUUACACUGCUGUUUUUCAGAUUGUUUGUUUUUACCUCUCAUAAGGUUAGGAUUCCUAUCAAAGCACGUAAGCUGUAACACUAAGAAAAUCUGAUGAGGUAUAAGAAAAUAGCCAAAAAGCAUACCCAGUCAUGCCUCAGGAUACCCUUUAAAUACUCUUUCCUGCCUUAAUCUAUAAACCACAGAAGUUGGCCUGUUCUCCAAGCAGUCCUGUCAUCCUCUGACAAGGCUUGCAGCCCUCCACGGCUGCCCUGCCUUUGUGAUGGCUUGUCCCAGUUCCUUCCCUGUUACCUCAGGGCACCGCCAGCCUACAGUAGGAAUGGAACAAUUAUUUAAGAACAAAAAUAAAUCAGGGUAUUGAUUGAUCAGUGGUCUGCAAGGGAAAGUUUAAUUUAGAAUAUACUAGCAGAUUUCCCAAGCAUGUCCCCCUUCCACCUCUGCUUCCAUCUCAGUACUUCUCCUCAGCUUGGGCAGUGAACAGUAUACAUCAAGAAUCUGCCAUAAGGAAUUACCUUUAAAUAUUAAAAAUACAGUAAGAAGGAGAAUAAGAAAUAACACACAGAUUGCUAAACCAUACAAGUGCUGCCCAACAUCUAAUAUAAAGAAAUUACUCUCCUGUUCAGUGCGUUUGUUUGAAGUGUAAACUGGUAAGAGAAUUUAUGGCACCACAGCAUGUGAAGAUGGGUCUUCACUUCAUCAAGCAUAAAAUAGAUGUAUAACUGACGGAAGACUUAGCAGGCACGUACAAAAAAAAUACCUAUGAUGGAAUUCAGAUAUCUAUUAAGAUACCUAGAUUCAGAUACCAACAACAUAUCUGAACAGGUGUCUCCUUUAGGAGCAACUAGUCUAGCCUCCUGUUAUAGCCACUGCAGAAUUUAGCUGAUACAUUCGGUGAGGCCUGAAGAGCUGUUCAGCUCAUCCUGAAGCAGACACCUACACUAGGUCAGCUGAGUAGCUCUACAGACUAUAAACUGUAAAUGCCUACAGUGAGCUUAUCGUGCUGUAUAAGAGGAUGCUGCUAUUGCAAAGUCACUUUCCAACUCUGGCUGCACUUUACACACAGGAAGGUAACGGCAGCAGAUCAGAAGGGAACGAUGCCUCUACCUAGUUGUAUAGUUGUAUGUAGUUCUCACUAGAUCAAAGGAGGAUAAAUAUAAUACCUCAGCCUGACAUGGUUAUGUAUUUCAGUAUAGUUAGUGCUAUCAAUUUAGAUAAUCAUAAAUUAAGUCUUGUAAGAACAGUGUUUCACUUCUAGUCUGCUCUACUAUUUACCCUGCCAUCCUGAAGCACAGUGCUGUAUUUAAGCAGCUGAGUGGACAGGGGUGAUAAGGACAUUGGCACAACUUGCCAGAUACGUGUCUUUGCCCAAGUGUCAAGUGCAGUUAGUUUCUAUAGCUGAUGUAGUGCUUUCACGCUUCAGCCGUAACUCACGUUUCAUGCCUGCUGAUGAGUCAGGAACAGCAACCACUGACUCUCCAUGAUGCAAGGCUGUAGGGCACAAGGGAGCCCAGCAGGGGCUCAGACACUUUGGAUGGCAGAAGUACUCAGACAACAGGUACCCAGGUUUGCAGGUGAACUAGCCGCACAAGAAAUCGGGUCAAAACCAAUCAUAGAAUAUCAGGUUGGAAGAGACCUCGAGGAUCAUCUGGUCUAACCUCUCUUGGCAAAAGCUCAGUCUAGAUAAGAUAGCCCAGCAUCCUGUUCAGCUGAAUCUUAAAAGUGUCCAAGCCAGCUUUGCUAGCACUAGGUUGAGAUCAGCCAUAUCAGCUGUGGGCCUGGCGACCUGCUCAAGCAUCUCUGCCGCGCAGUGCUGAGUCCUUGCCCAGGGGAGCUGGAGGAGCCCACACGCACCCUCCUCGGAGCCUGAGACCCCUCCAGGCCGCAGAGCACAGUGGGCAGGCUGAGAGGCCGUGGCUUGGGAUGGCACCUGCUCACGUUUGACACAGCCAGGCCCAACAAGCCCAGCUCAGCUGAAUUGGAUCCUGCAUGAAAACAGCAAGGUGACUUCACCCUGUGCUCUCCGUGGUUCUUCCAUAGCACAUCAAAGGUGUCUCUAAAGGUGUCUCUCCUUAAAAAAUCCUGGGAAUGGAAUAAAGUGCGAGGGACGUUUCCAUGCCCUAGGAAAACACAUGUAACAGCCCAGGAGGUGAAAUAGCCCCGAGGGUCAUACUACUCUGUUCAUGCGAUGCUUGCUUUCUUUUAAUAUCCUCAGCCUGAAGUGCUGAGCUGUUUCUGCAGGAACACCCACAACCUGAUCUGUCACCCUAAUAAUCUAACCACAGUAACUGAGGAAUCAGUGUAGAUGGCUAAGCUUUUCUGAGCUGUAUGUGAUCUAUGGACCCCUGCAUGAUCCUUUCUGUCUGUAUAAGAACAGUUUCUACAGCAGAUGUGGUAAUACAUGUGCUCACCACAAGUAUGACCUCAGCUAUUUUAAUUCACAGUUUCAAUCUAAGGUUAAUUUGAGUCAAAAAACAGUAGCUAGAAGUUCCCAGUCUGUACAUGUGUAUGAUGUGACUGCUAACAGACGGACGGCGACAAGCCGUGCUCCACCUGGAUCCCCUUGAAACCAGGGCUCUGCUUGCUUGCAGAGCAAGCAGCUGGUUGUGCGCACCAGGAAUGUGCACUGUAACUGGCAUACAACACAACUGAAGCUGCAGCCUUAUCUAAAACACGCAUUUCCAGAGAUAACAGAAGAUCCUGAGAAGCCUGAAUAUGUAAAUACUUGUAUGAUAGCUAGGAGGCUGUAGAUAUAACCUUAUUAAUGGGAAACUAAAUACAACAAAGAAGUUUUAUUAUGUACAAGUUCCUUCUGCAGCGGUUGUCCCUAUCCUGUUAGAGGACUGCAAGGAUGUGUUCAUUUAUAAUGCAGGUCCCAAUACGCAGUGUAUCGAGACCAUGCCUUACCACUGAUGUGGACAGUGACACAGUGUCAGUACUUUACUGGCUGAUUGAAUGAGCUGAGAGGAGAUCCCUUCAGCAUUUCAGUGCUCUGCAGGCUGUUGGAAGGCAGAAUAGAGAUGCAGGCAACCAGAUGGCUAUAGAAAAGUAUUGGGCAUUUCUACACCGCACUGUAGUACAGAAUAAAGGUACCCAAGUUAACUCCUCUGGAGUUAGCUCAGGAACCCAAGUGAUCUUGCUGCUGCAACUGGGGAAUUGCCAUAUAUUUUGAAAUACAAUUGCCAAACAGGCUGUUUCUCAGCACAGGCCAAUUCUUGCUAGGCUAUCUAAAGGCAGCACUGCAGUGAAUAAAGCUGACAAACAGUGAUGGACAGAUGAUGUAUAGUAAGCAGAAUCUCACUGGUACCUAGUUUGCCAAGUAACAGCUCAGUGCGACAUACUCUGUCUGGGCCACAUUAUUGGACAUGAUAUGAAAAAUGGAUAGAAGGAUUUGUCCUUAUACAGUGUAACCUGUACUUAUAGCUCUCCAUUCAUUCCUGUAUGUAAGUGCUUUCAUACAUCUAAGAAAACAAUUUAUUUUUGUCUCUGAUUUGUUUUCCCUUGAACCUGUUCCUUAACUCUUAGACAGCUAAUGGAAAAACAGUUUAAACAUCCUGGGGGAAAAGCAUGUCAAACACAAAGGUAGAAUAUUUUCAGGCUGAUUCAGCUCCUCAAAGACAAAGAAACAUCCUCUGAAUAGGUGAAUGAAUGUAUUUUUUCUGGCUAGUCCUGUACAUUUCUGUUGCUCCUUGAAUGCACUCUCUCAAAUCAAACAGAAGACUCAAAUUCAGCUUGGAGGGUCUGCUGAUUUUUCUUUUCACUGGAGCUGUUUAUAAAUAACUGCAAUGCUCAGGAUGAAUUACAGUACAACUCUUCAAAGACUCUUCAUUAUGAUUUUGUAAGAUAUCUAGAACUGUUUUUAGGCAACUGUCUCACAGUCAGCCUCAGAAGGGGGAUGAUUAUGGCGAAGGUAUGCUUAGGGAUAAAUUUAAUUUAUGAACACUUUUUCUGGGCAUCAGUUGUUGGCAAAGCCAAUAUAUACAUUUACUGGAGAUUGUUGUACUAUAGUUUUACAUCCAUUUCAUCAUAAUGGAUGAUUUAGCAAACUCAUUUGCUCUUAAAAACUGUCAUCAGUCUUGGCUGACCUAUUUCACUACCAGUCUUGUCACAACAAUAGACUGAAUAUGUAUAACCCUGUAGUGAUUGUUCAGUAUUCUAAGAAGAAAAUGUGGGGUCUACAAAACUCAAAUGACCAAAUAUUGUUCCUUUGCUACAGCUGUGGUUAAUAUGUGCUGCCAGCCCUCCCAGAGGGUCUUUUCAUAAAGUGUCAACUCCUGUUUGCCAUACUGGCAUGUCUAGUCCCACCAGGCAUGCACCUGGGUUAUGUGAAGUCAGCAUUUACAGUAGACUGUAAAAUUUCUAUGGAUUUUCUUCCUAGUAAGUUUAUACCUGUAGGUCUCAGUGGAAGCAUUCACAGGAAAUUUGCCUAAAACAUAUAAGUCAAAAUUACAUAGAUACAAAAAGAUACCGUAGUGCUUGUGACUACCCACUGACACUGAUACCUUCAGUUCCUGAGAUCAUAGUAUUUCUAAUUUAAAAGGUAAGAUAAAGGAGAACUGUAAAGCUCAGAGAAAAUUUCAGGCAAAAUAUUUAUAUAUCUGGUGAAUUUUUUUCCCCAAUACUAUGAAAACCAUCAACUACUGUUUUAGCAGUGAGCACAAUUAUUCCUUCACAAUCUCAUAAAAAACAACCAUUUAAAGAUCCUGAAUGAGAGCCUUCUUUUUCAACAGUUCUUACCCCGAAUAAAAAUAUUUUAAGAAUUUUACCAUUUGGAUUAAUUCCUUCCAGUCUAAGGCCUAGCAGCUUACUUCCUUUUUAAUUGAAAGGUGAAAAUCUGACAUAAUUUCAUGACUUCAUAAGGUUUGAGAAUAAGGAAAACUAAUUCAGAAAGAAAUCUAAAUCACAAAAAGUGGCAACACCAGCACAUUAAGCAAUGCCUCUAAACUGUAAAAUACAGGAGACAUUCAAACCUCUUUGUAAAGUGUAAGAUGCUAAACAUUGGAAUGUAUCAAGCCCAAGCCCCCAAAGUACUCAGAGAAAAUUCCUGUACUUCAUGAAAAAACACCAAACUUCUACAGAGAGCACGAGAAGAAUUAAGUCCGUGAAUCUCUGAUAACAUUCACAAUUUUGACUAUACAAGGAAUAAUAAUAAUGGUAAUGAUAAAACCAACAAUGGAUCAUAGUCCCUAUUUUGGUAAAACUCUCACUGAGUUAUAUAGUUACUUUGCUGUGGUUUUGGUUGAGCACAGACAUCAUUCUACAACUGAUUCUCAAAAUAAAGAAAGGAGAGACUACUGCAAAUAGCUACAUCAAAGUCUGAUUUGUCAUGUAAGCAAUGAAUAUUUCCGUUGGAAAUUUACUUGUUUUCUUUUUACAGCCGUGGCAUAUCUAGGUCUCCCUCAGAUUAGAAACAUUAACUAUUCUGGGUGUGAUUCCUGUGUGACUUGAUGGAGUAUCUAUAGUACCUGUGGGAUGGAGGAAUCUCAAGAGCAGUUAUAGUCAUAAUGAACUUAAAGAACUGCAAUAAAAAAUAUAUUUAAAAAAUGGGUCUGACAGACUUCAGAUGGUAGUAAAUAAAUGUUAGUGGGAAGGUAGAAACGCCGCUGUAUUAUCUCAGGAAACUCUCACAUCUUCUUGCUGGUUAAUUUUUCUGUUAUGAAGCACCUCUAACAAAGAGACUUUAACCUACUUUAUAUUCAUAAUGAUUCGUGCAAAUUUACCUCCUUUUGAGGCAGGGGGUCAAUGCUUAAGUUCAUUCUAUAAUAAGUAAUAUCUGCAUAGACUUUUGCUGUAUAAUAAUGAGGCAUGUUUUGCAGACAUUCAAAAUCAAAAACCACACAAACAGACUAUUUGUGGAUUCAGUUCACCAGUGGCAUAUAAAAUUCAGAACAGGAGAGCUGAUAAGGAUCAUAAACACAUUUUCAAAUUUAGCAUUUACCCUCCCAUAGCAUGGUGUCUUAUUUUUUAACGUAGGGUUUGGUACUAAAGGAAAGGGAUUAAAUAGUUUUCACUGUAUAUAGACAAAGACAAUGUAAGCAUGCACCAUGAGAGCUGUGGCUCUGGCAAAGAACCUCAACAUAAAUUUGCUACACAUCUAUUUUUCCAAAUAUAAGGCUUUUCUGGCAGGCAGCCAAUCAUGCAGGAAUUGCCAACCGUUCCGUAGAUAGGGCAAUUAUAAUUCUCCGUGCACUGCCGCUAGACCACCUGCACGUUCACGUGUGUUGUAAGUCGGAUUUGAACCCAGCUCUCAGGAGAUGAAUGCCAACCCACUGCUAUUUACUAUCAGCCUAAUUUUCAUUAUCUUUUAUUAGCAUUAAGAAACACCAUUUAUAACUGCACCUGACAAACAACUAAGCAUAGUGGAAGCUAGCAGAUGGAUCUUGUGCUAUAAAACUUGGAGUUGAGAUGUUCUGUUAAUUGGGGAAGGGAGGGGAAUUAUUCAAAGCCUGUAUUUUCAUGUAUCAUGCUUUGCUUUCAUCAAUAUCUUAUUGGAGGUGGAAGUGCAUAAUGUUUUGUGCUGAUAUAGAAUGAGAAUGUCAAAUUUUGUUUCAGAUAAUGCUGCCAAUAUUUUCAUGGGAGUAUGCCUGUUAUUUGUUAUUAAUCAAUUCAAUUAGAUUCAUUAAAAUAAGGUUUCACCUUUUUUUUUUCUUUUUAAAUGGGAAAUUAAAAUUUAAUAAAUAUCAAAUGAAUCAUCAUUUUCUCUUAAUAAUCAAAAGUCUAUCAUCAAAUAAUGAAGGGGGAAACAGCUCCACCACUUACUUAAAAGGCAGUUUGGACCAUUAGCUGUGGUGUUACUCUGUCUAAACAAAAUGUAGGAAAUUUUGAAAGAAUGUAACAGUUCUUUAUUCGAGCAUACUUCAGUAAAUGGAAACUUGUAGGAAAUAUUUUAAUUGUGUAUAGUUUUAACUGGGUGAUAUGCAAAUAGCCACAUGCUGAAGUAAUAAAAAUAAAUUAGUUACUUUGCAA
This is a long non-coding RNA of Tyto alba (common barn owl), 7891 nucleotides long. RefSeq lists it as uncharacterized. The transcript has 5 exons. The record is from RefSeq and is a predicted model, not a curated record. Lineage: Eukaryota; Metazoa; Chordata; Aves; Strigiformes; Tytonidae.